Molecule: non-coding RNA, 965 nt
Filed under: Pardachirus pavoninus (Pacific sole)
Lineage: Eukaryota; Metazoa; Chordata; Actinopteri; Pleuronectiformes; Soleidae
Description: 12S ribosomal RNA
Rfam family: Bacterial small subunit ribosomal RNA
Source: RNAcentral
CAAAAGUUUAGUCCUGACUUUACUAUCAGCUCUAGCAGUGCUUACACAUGCAAGUAUCCGCACCCCCGUGAGAAUGCCCUUAUGAUACCUUGUAGGUACUAGGAGCUGACAUCAGGCACACAAACGUAAGCCCAAGACGUCUUGCUUUUUGCCACACCCCCAAGGGAAAUCUGCAGUGAUCAACAUUAAGCAAUGAGUGAAAACUCGACUUAGCUAAAGCUAUUUAGAGCCGGUAAAACCUUGUGCCAGCUACCGCGGUUACACGAGAGGCUCAAGUUGAUAGUCAACGGCACAAAAGGUGGUUAGGUAGAACACUAAAUUAAGGCUGAACGCUUUUCUUACAGCUGUUAUAAGCUCCUAAAAGUAUGAAAACCAGCUACGAAAGUGGCCUUAUAAAGUCCGAACCCACGAAAGCUAAGAAACAAACUGGGAUUAGAGACCCCACUAUGCUUAGCCCUAAAUUGAUUAAAUAUAUACAUACACUUCUGCCUGGAAAUUACGAACGCAAGUUUAAAACCCAAAGGACUUGGCGGUGCUUAGAAUCCACCUAGAGGAGCCUGUUAUGUAAUCGAUGAUCCCCGUUCAACCUCACCCUCUCUAGCUCAAUCAGCCUGUAUACCUCCGUCGCAAGCUUACCCUAGCAAAGGUUCAGUAGUAAGCAAUAACGAUUUACGUGCCCCCAACGUCAGGUCAAGGUGCAGCCCACGAGAGGGGAAGAAAUGGGCUACAUUCUCUGACACUCAGAGAACUUACGAAUGGCAUGUUGAAAACAUAUGCCUGAAGGAGGAUUUAGCAGUAAGUAGGAAAUAGAGUGUCCUACUGAAACCGGCCCCUAAGCACGUACACACCGCCCGUCAAUCUCCCUGAAAACAUUGAACACCACACUAAAUAAAAAAAUAAGUCGAUACCUGGAAGGGAGAAAAGUCGUAACAUGGUAAGUGUACCGGAAGGUGUACUUGGAAUAC